This 460-nucleotide ribosomal RNA is filed under the name uncultured bacterium. RNAcentral describes it as "partial 16S ribosomal RNA". It matches the Rfam family "Bacterial small subunit ribosomal RNA", at positions 338 to 795 of the family's 1533-position model. The record is from RNAcentral.
CCUACGGGGUGCAGCAGUGAGGAAUAUUGGUCAAUGGACGCAAGUCUGAACCAGCCAUGCCGCGUGCAGGAUGACGGCUCUAUGAGUUGUAAACUGCUUUUGUACGAGGGUAAACCCAGAUACGUGUAUCUGGUUGAAAGUAUCGUACGAAUAAGGAUCGGCUAACUCCGUGCCAGCAGCCGCGGUAAUACGGAGGAUCCGAGCGUUAUCCGGAUUUAUUGGGUUUAAAGGGUGCGUAGGCGGUUUGAUAAGUUAGAGGUGAAAUGUCGAGGCUCAACCCCGGAAGUGCCUCUGAUACUGUUGGGCUAGAGAAUAGUUGCGGUAGGCGGAAUGUAUGGUGUAGCGGUGAAAUGCUUAGAGAUCAUACAGAACACCGAUUGCGAAGGCAGCUUACCAAGCUAAAUCUGACGUUGAGGCACGAAAGCGUGGGGAGCAAACAGGAUUAGAUACCCUUGUAGUC